Long non-coding RNA from Dreissena polymorpha, 1738 nucleotides. RefSeq lists it as uncharacterized. The record is from RefSeq and is a predicted model, not a curated record. The transcript is spliced from 6 exons. NCBI's taxonomy places the organism in Eukaryota, Metazoa, Mollusca, Bivalvia, Myida, Dreissenidae.
CCAACCUGCGCAUUCGGAAUUCGGAAUUCUAGAAUCGGAGUGUCAUAACAUUGCAAACCGAUGUUUCUUAUUGUGAAAAAAGAAUAACUGAAUGUGCAGAGUAAAGUUAUUAAGCGAAUUCCCUACCAACUUCUCUUUUGUCAAAACCUGGAUUCACAUUGCUCUACCAUCAUGAGUGAGGAAAUGGUCGUCAGUCUACGUGCACGUCGAUCAAUAAACCAACCGAUUAUCGAUUUGGUUUAUGAGCGACAGAAAAUGACUUACACACGUGAACUAGCUGGGCAAUUGGAGAUGAUUCCUUUACUCAGUGGGGAUCAUCGUUGCGAACUUUCCGUUCAGCUUUUACAACAGGUGAGGCAUUUGCACGAGCAGUCCAUGGUUUUUGAAUGUGAAAGUAUUGCGUCUCUCCUUCAAAAACCCGACGAGCGAUAUCAACUGCGACUAGAACUUGAAACAGAAAGCUAUAACUUGAACACAGUUCAAACCUUAGCGAACAACCACUUUAUGGAGCGUUUUGAUGCGUCCACAUCCGCAGAAACAGUUGUUUCGAUUUACUUGGCGAGAAUGCAAGCCAUAAGGGACCGCUUAAGUCGGAAAAUGCAAGCGAUGAGUGUUGGACGAUGCUAGUUGAAGAUUUUCUGCAGCAAAACACGAUUUAAUGGAAGGUGUUCACGAUGUCGUCAUUGACCUUUGGUUGAGACAUGUCACACAAGUGCAGGGAAUGUAUAUCAAAUGAAUAUCUUUUAAAAUUAUACAUUUUGUUUAAUUAUACUCCUACUCCUUAUACUCAUGCUCGUACAUGUCUGUUAGUUUGUGAAACCUGAACAGCUUAAAGGGAAAAAUCUUCAAGAAUACAGGCACGUACUAAACAUAGAGCAAAUUCCUACUCUUCAUAUAAAUGUUUAUUUGGAAAUAAUAAUGCAUCGUGUCUCAUUAAGAAUUCACGAAUUAUGUGUUCACAGAUAUUGAGCACCGAGUAUUCGGUAGGCUGUCGACCAUGACGAAUGUCUUGCUUUUCUUUUUGUUCUCUGAACAUGUUGAUCUAUAUGCGUAUGCUUUACAAUGUUGUACAAUCAUGAUUAUAUUUGAUUUAAUAUUAGCAUUGUAUACAUUAUUUUAUUUACCGCUUAAAUAUAUAACGAUGUAGCAAUUUAAAUUUUAACAUGUUUAACAUUAAACAUCUUUACCAUGUUUACGAUCCAAGAAUUUUAUUAAUGAAAACGCUAAAGAAACUAUUCUGAUUUUUGCUGCGUACGAUAAUUUACAAUGUUAUCUAACCUUUUAAACAUGAUUUUUAUGUUUGAAUGUAUUUUUAUUUCUGAUUUUUUUAAUUAUUCAAUUAUAUAUAGAUGAAAUUUGCAUUAACAUAGAGAUCCGGGCUUAGUGGACGCGUUAGUUCGGUGACGUUGGAAUCACUUGUCUUUUACCAUUUAUUAUCAUCUGCUUUGGAUUAACAGAGCGUUAAUCUAGAAUGACAACGCUGCAUUAUUGUUAAUAUGCUUCUGUGAAGUAUUUUCUUAAAUAAUCUUGAUAUUUCACACCCUUUCUAAAAUUAUAUAGCUAAUACUGUUUAACUAUUUAAAAAAAAAUAUGUGAUAAGAAAUCGACUGUUUUAACCAGUGUGCUUUUAUGAUUGUUAUCAAAACAUUAAUGGUUGUUCAUGGCUGAAAUUAAAUACAAUUAUUGAGUAUUAAAAUUGUUCAUGGUUCAUAUAAAUUGUUCAUGUUUUAAUAGUUUU